RNAcentral lists this transfer RNA (73 nucleotides) under Felis catus (domestic cat). It matches the Rfam family "tRNA". Rfam says of the family: Transfer RNA (tRNA) molecules are approximately 80 nucleotides in length. Their secondary structure includes four short double-helical elements and three loops (D, anti-codon, and T loops). RNAcentral also lists the same sequence under 3 other names. The record is from Rfam by way of RNAcentral. Lineage: Eukaryota; Metazoa; Chordata; Mammalia; Carnivora; Felidae.
GCCUGGUGGGCUCAAUCGGUAGAGCAUGUGACUUUUGAUCUCAUGGUCAUGAGUUUGAGGCCCAUUUUGGGUG